Molecule: ribosomal RNA, 710 nt
Filed under: uncultured Bacteroidales bacterium
Lineage: Bacteria; Pseudomonadati; Bacteroidota; Bacteroidia; Bacteroidales
Description: bacterial SSU rRNA
Rfam family: Bacterial small subunit ribosomal RNA
Source: RNAcentral
GAGGGGCAUCAGUUUGGUUUGCUUGCAAACCAAAGCUGGCGACCGGCGCACGGGUGAGUAACACGUAUCCAACCUACCUCAUACUCGGGGAUAGCCUUUCGAAAGAAAGAUUAAUAUCCGAUAGCAUAUAUUUCCCGCAUGGGUUUUAUAUUAAAGAAAUUCGGUAUGAGAUGGGGAUGCGUUCCAUUAGUUUGUUGGGGGGGUAACGGCCCACCAAGACUACGAUGGAUAGGGGUUCUGAGAGGAAGGUCCCCCACAUUGGAACUGAGACACGGUCCAAACUCCUACGGGAGGCAGCAGUGAGGAAUAUUGGUCAAUGGACGCGAGUCUGAACCAGCCAAGUAGCGUGAAGGAUGACUGCCCUAUGGGUUGUAAACUUCUUUUAUAUGGGAAUAAAGUGGUCCACGUGUGGACUUUUGUAUGUACCAUAUGAAUAAGGAUCGGCUAACUCCGUGCCAGCAGCCGCGGUAAUACGGAGGAUCCGAGCGUUAUCCGGAUUUAUUGGGUUUAAAGGGAGCGUAGGCGGAUUGUUAAGUCAGUUGUGAAAGUUUGCGGCUCAACCGUAAAAUUGCAGUUGAUACUGGCAGUCUUGAGUGCAGUAGAGGUGGGCGGAAUUCGUGGUGUAGCGGUGAAAUGCUUAGAUAUCACGAAGAACUCCGAUUGCGAAGGCAGCUCACUGGAGUGUAACUGACGCUGAUGCUCGAAAGUGU